UAUGUUAGCAACGGGAAUGAAAUUUAUUUUAUAUCUUUAUACCUCCAAACACUUCAAAAAAAGUUUGGAGGUAAAAGAAUAUUUAUAUGGUAAAUAAUAUUUUGAUGAAAAGUUCUUUAUGUUAAAAAUUAAAUAUGAAAAAAAUAGAAGAUAAAUUUAUAAUCUUUAUAAUUUAAAGAUAGAUUUUUUAUUUUAGUUCUGGCGAAGCCUGUGCCAGCCGCCGCGGUUAUACAGGCAGGAUAUUAUAUUUUUGUAAAAGAAAUAUUUAUUUUUAUGAAAUUUAAGAUUAAUUAGGUGAAAUUAUUAAUUUUUAUAUAGUUUUUAAAAUUUUUAAAAUUUGUAGAAAAAAAAUAGGAUUAGAUACCCUUUUAUUACAUAAUGUUAAAUUAUUAGUAGCUUUGGAGUUGUAAAAUUUAAAUAAAAUGGCGGUUUUUUAAGCUUUUUAGAGGAAUUUAUUCUUUAAUUGAUAAGACUCAAGAAUCUUUCUUAAUUUGGUUAGGACAGUUUGUAUAUCGCUAUCAUAAUAUAAUAUUAUUGGAUUAUUAUAAAAGUAGAGAUUUUUUAAAAUGUUAGGUCAAAAUGCAGCAUAAAAUUAAGUUUGAAAUAAAUUACUUUAAUUUUUAUUGGAUUAUAGGAAGAGAAUUUAGGAUUUAAAAGUAAAUUUUAAUUAUAAUGUAUAGUUGAAAAUAGCUCUGAAAUAUGCACAUAUCGCCCGUCGCUCUCAAUUUUAUGAGAUAAGUCGUAACAAAGUAAAAGUAUCGGAAGAUGUUUUU
This 773-nucleotide non-coding RNA is filed under the name Reticulinasus faini. Lineage: Eukaryota; Metazoa; Arthropoda; Arachnida; Ixodida; Argasidae. The record is from RNAcentral.